UGAAUACGAGACGCUAAGGCGUCGAAGUAGUGUAUGUCAUACUUCCAAGAAAAGCUUGCACUGUCAUAGAUAAAAAACGCCUGUACCAUAACCGACACAGGUGGGUAGGUAGAGUAUACUAAGGGGCGCGAGAUAACUCUCUCUAAGGAACUCGGCAAAAUAACUCCGUAACUUCGGGAGAAGGAGUGCCUUAUUUAUAAGGCUGCAAUAACAAGAUCCAAGCAACUGUUUAUCAAAAACACAGGUCUCCGCUAAGUCGUAAGACGAUGUAUGGGGGCUGACGCCUGCCCAGUGCCAGAAGGUUAAAGAAGUUGGUUAGCUUUUGCGAAGCUGAUAACUGAAGCCCUGGUGAACGGCGGCCGUAACAAUAACGGUCCUAAGGUAGCGAAAUUCCUUGUCGGGUAAGUUCCGACCCGCACGAAAGGCGUAAUGAUUUGGAUACUGUCUCGGAGAGGGGCUCGGUGAAAUAGACUUGUCUGUGAAGAUGCGGACCACCUGCACCAGGACAGAAAGACCCUAUGAAGCUUUACUGUAACUUGAAAUUGAAAUUGGACUUUAUUCGCGCAGCAUAGGUGGGAGGCGUUGAUUAUAAUCUCGUGGGAUUAUUGGAGCCAUCAGUGAGAUACCACUCUUGUAAUGUUAGAUUUCUAACUUUGAAUCAUUAUCUGGUCAAAGAACAGUUUCAGGCGGGCAGUUUGACUGGGGCGGUCGCCUCCUAAACGGUAACGGAGGCGUACAAAGGUUUCCUCUGAACGGUUAGAAAUCGUAUCUACAGUGUAAAGGCAUAAGGAAGCUUGACUGUGAGACCUACAAGUCGAGCAGGGACGAAAGUCGGUCUUAGUGAUCUGACGGUACUGAGUGGAAAGGCCGUCACUCAACGGAUAAAAGUUACUCUAGGAUAACAGGCUGAUCUCCCCCAAGAGUUCACAUCGACGGGGAGGUUUGGCACCUCGAUGUCGGCUCAUCGCAUCCUGGGGCGGUAGUACGUCCCAAGGGUUGGGCUGUUCGCCCAUGAAAGCGGUACGCGAGCUGGGUUCAGAACGUCGUGAGACAGUUCGGUCCAUAUCCGGUGUAGGCGUUAGAAUAUUGAGAGGAGCCUUCUUUAGUACGAGAGGACCGAGAAGGACAUACCUCUGGUGUACCAGUUAUCGUGCCAACGGUAAACGCUGGGUAGCUAUGUAUGGAGUGGAUAACCGCUGAAAGCAUCUAAGUGGGAAGCCCACCUCAAGAUAAGUAUUCUCAGC
This 1244-nucleotide ribosomal RNA is filed under the name metagenome. RNAcentral's name for it is "bacterial LSU rRNA". It matches the Rfam family "Bacterial large subunit ribosomal RNA", at positions 1564 to 2818 of the family's 2925-position model. The record is from RNAcentral.